GUGCCAGCAGCCGCGGUAAUACGUAGGGGGCGAGCGUUGUCCGGAUUCAUUGGGCGUAAAGCGCUUUAAGGCGGUUCGCUAAGUCGCGUGUGAAAACUCCAGGCUCAACCUGGAGACGCCACGCGAUACUGGCGUGACUAGAGUUCGGUAGGGGAUCACGGAAUUCCUGGUGUAGCGGUGAAAUGCGCAGAUAUCAGGAGGAACACCGGUGGCGAAGGCGGUGAUCUGGGCCGACACUGACGCUGUAGAGCGAAAGCGUGGGGAGCGAACAGGAUUAGAUACCCUGGUAGUCC
Molecule: ribosomal RNA, 293 nt
Filed under: uncultured bacterium
Lineage: Bacteria
Description: partial 16S ribosomal RNA
Rfam family: Bacterial small subunit ribosomal RNA
Source: RNAcentral